UUUACGGUAAAAAAAAUAACAAAUAAAAAAUGGCGUCCGUGAUCACGUGACCCGUGCGAUGUUUGUAAACAUGCGUCAGCCACAUGUGAUUCCGGCGAUGACGACGUGUUUCUCGGAGCUCUCGGCCAAUCGGCGUCCGGAGGAGUGUCUGUGGGCGGGGCCGCCUGGUGCUUGCGCUAUGGAAAAUCGUUACUGUGGGAUACGCCGCAGAUAAACGUUGCGCUCCCGGGGCCGACGGCUGCGGCGAAGGGGGCGACCGCGGCGGGCCGACCAUUCGCGGAGUGGGGGAAGGACCGACGACACCCCAGCGGCUCGGCAGGUAAAUGAAACUGCGUCAGAAGAAGAAGAUCCGCUGGGAAAUUUCCGCCAAGGCGGCCGGUACGUAGCGACAUGGCGUCAACUUGAGCCCGCAACUGUGCGUCACAACUUGACUCGGGGUGCGCGACAGUGCGAUGUAAACAAAAGGCGUGAAGGCAAAGCCCCGAAUAGGAUGCUGCGCAAGAGAUGGACAGUGCCUACUCGCGCAGUGGAAGAGGAGCGUCCGUAUUACGCAGUUCACAAUGGCACAACACCUAACGAGUCGACACCCUGCUUCCCCCCCCCCCCCCCCCCCACACACACUUUUAACCAUUCAAUUUAAAGCGCCCACUUCAAUUCUUUUGAUUCAGUGUGUUUUUUAUUUGAUGGAGAAAGUGGCUCGACGAGAGUGGUGACGCAACUCGCGUCACCACAACAUUUUGCUGCGUCACAAGCUGCCAGGAGGUCAACAAUAAUGUCUCCUUUUGAGUGCGCACUUGAUAUGAUGAAAGUGGUUGCGGCGUGGGAGCUCAGGGGGGCGCUGCCGAGUAGCCCUCGAUCGGCCCUCCUUCGAGAAGGAUGCUGGCAUUCGAUAGCAUAGGAUAAAUAAACAGACGGAAACCGAACAAAUGCAAGAUGCUUCCGUUCGGAACCUAUGAGUCAGUGGAUGCUUAUGAUGGGGUGGUGAAUCAUACUUUGGGAGCCACCGGGCACACAAUCCUAUGGGCGAUUUUACACAAAAUCUAAAAAGUAAGGAACGUUUUGUCGGAAAUUGAGGCGCCGCAACACGUAUGGAGUAUCGCAACUUCCUCGCGACCAAUAAAAGCAAUUCAAAACGGCCCCAAAUGGCUCCUCUCGGACACUGGACAACCCUGGCUCACAAUCAAACGGCAGGCACACCAAAAAAGGGGCCAACGUGGCCGACACCGACGCAACUGUUGCGCGGUGUGCGUGUUUCGGCAACUCGUUUUCAUGAGGGGCCGACCGCAGGCCACUGGUUUUGCUGAGUUUUAGAAUUUCAGUUGCCACGUUGUCGAUGCCAAUUAAAAAUGCACGAGCUUUCACAAAAAAAAAAAAAAAGCCCAAACAUUUUUGGGUUUUAAGUAAAAGCUCUCUGGCAGCCACCUUGUGCCAGUCUAUAGUGUUUCACAUUACAGUAAUACUUCAGUAUACAGCUUAAUCUGUUCUGACCACGAUCGUAACGAAAAUACAUACAGGCUUGCAAUAUUUAGCGGUAAAUGCGUGUGACAAAGAGUCACAAACGAAUUUUUUCAGUCCCGUUCGCCGGCGUUGCCCGGUGUGCUGCGGACCUAAGAUAAAAUGAUAGCGAUAUAGUUGAUAACAAUGCCACCAAACAUAACUUAACCCAACAUGCGGUAGGAGGCCACACUUUAAUCCAUCCGACAUUGUGUACGUGCAUCGGUAGGUGCAGCUGUUUUGGUUAGCAACAUGCUCAAAUGGUAGUUCAUAGGGCUUGGACUCACUGUCUCAAUCCCCAUUAGCUAUUUGCAUUGACAGUGACAAAUGACCAGCAAAUCACAAUCAAAUCAUUACUUCCAAAAUAAAGACAUCAUUGUCCAACAAAUGAAAAAGUUCAGUUUGAAAACUAUCUCUAGCCCCCUGGUUAUGUCCUGGUCGCAGUUUUUUCGGGGGGUCACAGAUUUUGCCACAAUACCAGAAAAGACAUUUUGGCUGGCGCUUUUCCCUCCGGAAAAACGCUUUUUUGAAAAUGGCUUACUUUAACGAGGAUCCCUCGCCGCAUCGUGGCCGCGGUCAGUUUUGCACACUCGCCGCUCUCGGUGCCAUACAAUGUGUAGAUUUGCGCUGGCUAGCUGGGAGCAUCUGCUUCAACAAGCCAGCAGGUUAGUUUAGCUGCUAGCUAGCAGUAGCUGGCUAGCUCUCAUCAAUCCUCUGCCACAAUGUGUUCAAUGAAUCUUGCGCAACUUUAUCCAAGUCAUCUGUCGGUCACAGUCUAUCAUGAACAUCCAUGCAGCUCCUCGGGCACGGCCAUCGGGCGCCUCGUUCCACGGAGAUUAUUAUCUUGGGGGAGACUGCUCCAUGAUCCAGGUGAUCGGCACAGGCGAAAGAUAAGUGGACGUAGACCUUACCCCUGAGGAAAAUGUGAUUUGUGGUCAUCCAAGACAAAGACAACGCUCAUUGCUAGCAAGAGUUUUUGUAGGACCUGAAUGCUGUGUCAUCUGCGGCCCAAAUGUCCUUUCCGAGGCCGACCAGUGCAACAAGUGACCCACUUCCGCGGAUAAGGAAGCGUGACCUCAAUAGUUGUUUUGCUGCUCUUUGAAGGGAGGGGUGCAGGCUCUUGCGCUAAAUUAACAACCAGCGCCCUCGCUAAGUGUUGUGUCGUCACAUGCGGCUCCCCGGAGGGACGUUGCUGUUGUCCAGCAUGAAAAGUACAAAAAAAACCAUUUGCAACAAGCGCAACCUAUUCUGAUGGCUGUUUAAAGCCACCUGCAGCACUCGUGAAAGCUUAAGCGAGCGACCCAAGAUUGUAGAAUUGGAGGCGAGAGAUGCUAAAAUUAAACCGGGGCUGCACUCGACCACGACGAUGAUGAUGAUGUAUUAAUAGACAAGUGAGGCGGCGUUUGUUCGUAGGUAUCAGACUUGCCAGAAUGACCGUAAGUGUGCAGAAAGCAUCUCAGCACCUCACUGAACCAUAAUUGGAGAUUAAUUAUUCGUCUAAAUAUGAAAUUCAGCUACCGUGGGUCGAAGUUGAAGAAGAAGAAGAAGAAGACAUGAGGGCAGUUGGUGUUGGAGAGGAGGAUGCAGGAGAGAGGCUCUCAUGGCAAAGGAUGAGGCGCUGUGGCCACCCCUAAAGGGACAAGCCCAAAGCAAAAGAAGAAGAAGAAGAAGAAGAAGAAGAACCUUAAAGAAUGAGGCGGCACCAAUCGAUUGGUUUUUUUGUGUUUUUUUUAACGAUAAUACCAAUUUGCACAGACAGCAGAAUUGAAAUUCCACUUGGAGCUCGCUCACAGGAAGACGGAGGCAUUACCCGCGUAGCAGACUGGAAACCAUUUAAGGGUGUAGUACCUUUUGCCUUAAGUGAUCUGGGAUCGGCUCGAGCCCCCGCUGGGACCCAGAACAGGUUUAGCAGUCGAAAAAUGGAUGGAUAAGAGACAGAGUCUUCAUUCUAUGCUGUUCUGAUAUAUUACACUGGACACUUUUGGUAGGAAGACACAGAGGUAAUUAAGCUAAAGACUGCAAUUUUCAAAUUAUGAAACAAUUAUUCAUACCCAUGAGUAACCUUUCAUUGCUCAGUGACUCUCCGUACUGUGUUUGUAUGUCUCCAAAAUAUUUUCUGUCAAAUGGCCAUUGUUUACCGAAAAAGAUAAAAAAGAUAUCACUCACCACCAUCAUGACAAACAUUCAAAUACAAUAACAUAUUAGGCCUAAGCGUUCAUCCAAAACGAGGCAGUGUUUUUUUUCUAAAAAGUGUACUUAUUACUGUAAGACACUAUAACAGUAUGCACUUUGAACAUUAACACUUCACUUGAACAUAAGAAAGAAAAAGAAAAACGACUUCAAUGAUUCAAUUAAAAAAUGUGGAAAAGCAAAGACUUCUUAAAGAUAAGAUGUACAUGUAUUGUAUAGGGCUGCACAGUGGGCGACUGGUUAGCACAUCUGCCUCCCAGUUCUGAGGAUCAGGGUUCAAAUCCGGCCGUGCCUGCAUGCGUUUUCUCCGGUUUCCUCCCACAUCCCCAAAACAUGCACGGUAGGUUCAUUGAAGAAUGUGAGUGCGACUGCUUGUUUGUUUAUAAGUACCCUCCGAUUGACUGGCGACCAGGGUGCGCCCCGCCUCUCGCCCAGAGUCAGCUGAGAUGGGCACGCCCGCGAAGGAUAAGCGGCACGGAAAAUUGAUGGAUAUAAAGUUAAAUACAACUGAACUGUACUUCAAAAAAUGUACCAUACUUGAAAAGUAGAACAAACUGGAUUUUUAAAAAAUUGUGUUAUGUGUGGCUUUGUUUGAUCCCCCCCCCCUUUCAGCUUGUGCUGUUAGGGGUCGCCACAGCGUGUCACCCUUUUCCACGUAAGCCUAUCUCCUGCAUCCUCCUCCCGAACACCAACUGCCCUCAUGUCUUCCCUCACGACAUCCAUCAACCUUCUCUUUGGUCUUCCUCUCUUGCCUGGCAGCUCCAUCCUCAUCAUCCCUCUCCCAAUAUACUCAUUCUCUCUCCUCCGGACGUGACCACACUCACCAUUGCUCUGGCCUGUAUUUCAAGUCCUCCACCCUUGCUCUCUCUUCUCCCUGUAGCCUCACUCUUCCCCCACCACCCCUCUCAUUCAUGCACAUCUAUUCGGUCUUACUUGGGCUAAUCUUCAUUCCUCUGCUUUCCAGUGCAUGCCUCCAUCUUUCUAACUGUUCCUCCACCCGCUCCCUGCUCUCACUGCAUAUCACAAUCUCAUCUGCGAACAUCGUGGUCCACGGGUACUCCAGUCUAACCUCAUCUGUCAGCCUAUCCAUCACCACUGUAAACAGGAAGGGGCUCAGGGCCGAUCCCUGAUGCACUCUGUCACACCUACAGCACACCUAACCACUGUAAUAUUCUAACAUACUUCUCUGCCACUCCAGACCUCCGCAUGCAGUAUCACAGUUCCUCUCUGGGUACUCUGUCCUAGGCUUUUUCGAGAUCUACAAAUCAGAAUCAGAAUCAUCUUUAUUUGCCAAGUAUGCCCAAAAAACACACGAGGAAUUUGUCUCUGGUAGUUGGAGCCGCUCGAGGACGACAACAGACAGUCAAUUGACAGAGAACACUUUGGAGACAGAAAGACAUUGAGAAAAAGAAUGAAAUAAUUAAACAUGUCGCGGGUCAAAUUGACCCGGGAACACAAUUUAUGUUCCUGAUAAAUUAACAUUACAGAAGGAUUCUGCUUUUGUUCCCUUGAUCUUUAUAGCUUUACCUGUACCUUUUCAGCACGAAGGUACAUUAGAGUCUAAUAAUUAUGGGUUGCGUUAUUGUUGAUUGUUCUUUGAGGGUUGGGAACGGCCCGCUCAACUUGACCGCACAAACCGUUUCGAUUUAGAAAUACAUUAGCCCGAUGAGUUUGCCUCUCUCAUGCCUGAUAAAUUAGGACCUCUAAUCUGUAAGAGGAUUAACCACCUACUCUGUUUAUACGUACACACGCACACACAUGCACAUAACCAGGCAUUAGGUGUGCAAAGCAUCGUCACCGAUUCGAAUGUGAUUCAAUACGGUGACAAUGCACGUGAUUAAUUUGGAUUUACUGGUAAAGACUGUCCAUCCCAAAUGCAGCGCGCCACAGGGAGGAGUGGACUCAAAACAGAAGAAAGGAAGUGGUGUUGUGGCCUUAAAAGUAAAAAAACAACAACAACAACAAAAUGACAGAAACACUAAACAGCGUGACAACAAUUGUUUUAGAAGAUGAAGCACAACGGAGUGAGGAUUAGCCCCAGAUUGACGAGUCAAAUUGUCUCCGAAAGACACACUAAGGUUUUUGGAUUAAGUUGCUUUGUCAUAGUCAGCAGGAUGACUGCAAGGGGAAUGAAAUCUCGUGUCCGGCUUUGCCUUAAAUGUAAAACAAGACUUUUGAACGACGUUUCGUGCAAAUUUGAUUUUGAAUUAGGCCUUGGAACAAGGUGCAGACCUGUGAAAAGGACAUGGGUUUUUCUGUGGACCUGUACAGUAUACUAUUUAUGUCCAAAGUUGGCUGUGCUUCAUCACGGCGCAGUUGCGCUCGUUUGUGCCAGUUUUGGAAGUCGUGCAAUCUUUCCGCAUCUGACCCACUUCAGAAGGAACGCCGGGACUCAAACAACAGGUUGUGUCAACACACUGGAAAAAGAUUAAGAUUCUUAAAAAAAAAAAAAAAAAAAAUGUAGUAUUGCUAGUGCCUGUACCCACUCAGAAUGUUAUCUAUUAUUGUAUUGUUUCAUGAUUUUAUGUCUGAGCAAUGUUUAAACACUUUUAGUAGAGCAUUGUUUUUAUAAAUCCAUUUUUUUGCUGUUCAUAGUUGGUUACGGUCCGCUGUAACAGGGUUGAGACGACUUACAAACUGUACUGUACCACAGUGUUUAUCCGCGGUUGCUAAGCAGGCGCUGCUCGUGCAGAGCAAGUUAGCAUAACACUCAUCAUUGCUCCAAAAAAAUGAUGAAAAAUUUGUAAAAAUUCAAAUGAAAAAAAUGGUACCGGCAGCUAUGCCGGCAAACAUUCUUGAAGACAUUUUCACACAACAAGUUAGUUCUUGUCGUUCUGUUGAUUUUUAUUGUGCUCGGUGGGGGCUAGCAUGGUGAAGCUAUCGCGUUCACCAUGACACGUAAAUUAUGCACUAAAAUUGCUUUAAGCAAAUUUGUGUUUGAAGCCAGAUUUGAACCCGGGUCCCCAGAACUGCAAGGCAGAUGUGCUAACCAGUAGUACACCAUGCCAGCUUCCAACAUAACAGUGAUUUGAAAUAUAUAUAUAUUUUUUUUAAAAAGUCUGAUUUUGUGUGUUUUGCAGAUGGCGGGCCUCAGGCCCACUAAGACGAACAAGGCUUCCUCCCCAGGGAACCGGUUUCAGAUGGUGUUUUAGAGUCUAAAAUCCCAUCUAGCACCAUUUGAAAUCGGUGUUCUUGAGCAGGAACACACAUCGGCGGGCAUCGACGGCAAAGUUGCGUGACCUCACCAAGGAUGACCGUUUUCCUCUGGUGUUCAGAGUUGCCAUCAUGUCUAGCACCAUUUGAAAUCGGUUACAUUGUGGAGGGAAGCGCGACGCAGCUGUGUUGAUGUGCUGCCUUACAUGGCCAGCAGGUGGCAGCCGUGUGACAUCCGGGGUUGCCCAAUGGUCGUGUUUAUUUAUUUAUUUAAAGUCUUAUUUUGUUUUGUAAUUGCUGACAGGUUAUUGUUGUUGUACCUAUUUGUGGUCAAAUUUAUGUGGGAAAUUUAUAUGGUCACACCCCCCCCACCACCAUUAAAUGGUUCCAAAUAAUAAACUGGUAUCUCACUAUC
Long non-coding RNA from Phyllopteryx taeniolatus (common seadragon), 7252 nucleotides. RefSeq lists it as uncharacterized. Lineage: Eukaryota; Metazoa; Chordata; Actinopteri; Syngnathiformes; Syngnathidae. The transcript is spliced from 2 exons. The record is from RefSeq and is a predicted model, not a curated record.